This 253-nucleotide ribosomal RNA is filed under the name uncultured bacterium. RNAcentral's name for it is "partial 16S ribosomal RNA". It matches the Rfam family "Bacterial small subunit ribosomal RNA", at positions 524 to 776 of the family's 1533-position model. The record is from RNAcentral.
UACGUAGGGUGCGAGCGUUGUCCGGAAUUACUGGGCGUAAAGAGCUCGUAGGCGGUUUGUCGCGUCUGCUGUGAAAUCCGGAGGCUCAACCUCCGGCCUGCAGUGGGUACGGGCAGACUAGAGUGCGGUAGGGGAGAUUGGAAUUCCUGGUGUAGCGGUGGAAUGCGCAGAUAUCAGGAGGAACACCGAUGGCGAAGGCAGUGUUCUGGGCCAGUACUGACGCUGAGGAGCGAAAGCGUGGGGAGCAAACAGG